AAACCACCACAGGUGGUACUGUAGCAAAUACCUUGUGAGGCAGAUUGAGGAAGCCCAUUAGUGCUUGUUUGUUCAAGCUCUGGCACACCACCCAAUUGCUCAUCACUGAUGAGCCUGGGUUUGUCUCUUUGCCCCUUCCAAGCUAGUUUAAAACUCUAUCAACAAGUCCUGCUAUCUCCUGUAAUAGAACUCUUUCUCCUAUGGAUUCAUGGAAAGUAUCGUACAGCAAUAAUAACUGAAUCUGCAAGUCAUCCUGAAAAUAUGUGAAUUCCUGCAGCAAUUAUUACAAGAAGAAAUUAUUGAAAAGGUUUUGAUGGUUGGUUGUGUCCCUAAAAGUACUGCUCAUCUUCACGUGCAAAUCUAUCCAGAAGCAGAUCUGAGCGAGCUGAGAAGAGACAUCUGCAGCUCCACAAUUUUGAGAAUCAUUGUACAUAAAUUCCAGGAUACAAGAGGACCCACCUCAUCUUUUACCAGUUGUCAUUUGAGAACCUUCUUGUGCAAAAAUAUUUUUGACUGAAAAAUAUCCAGGGACUCUCUACCACCUUUCCAUAGCCAGCAUAUACUGAGCAGCAUGCCUGCCCUGCUGUAGGCUUCUUCUACGUCUCAGAUUUAUUGAAAGUUGAUUAAUAUGCUAAUAAUUUAAGUGAAAUGUUCACCUAUUAAAAAAAGGUAAAAAAGAAGACUAAAGAAUUCUUAUUAUAACUGAUCAUGCUGUCCGUGAGUCUCUGAAAAAAAGAUGUGUUCAGGAGGCAGAACAAAUGAAAGAGAAGAUAAAAUACAACCUUGUCUAAUGCUAAUAUUAAGAAAAAAUACUUUGAGCAAGAGCAAAAAUUAAUUUCUGGAGAAUUGAGAACAAUAUGAUGAAAGAAAUAGAUUCUGAAAUUAUUUUUUACAUUACUGGGAAAAGACUGCCCCAAAGAAUCCAGCAAAGUGCCUUCAGCAAGAAGAAGACCACACAAUAGUUUAAUUAACGUGAUAUUUGUUGUCUUUGUCUGAACUAAAGUCAGAAUUCCUAGUUCAUAUGAAGUUAUAGUAUUUGUCAGCAUUUUAAAGUCUUAAUUCACUUAAUCUACAGUCUUCUGGACUUUCAACUCAAGUCAUGGUUGGGUCUCAGAACCAAAGGCAGGUAAUUUUUUUCAAUAAAAAGAGUGGUAGAGCAUGAAAAAAAAUUGAGACAAAUUAAGACACGAAGCAAUAUGAUUUUGAAAACCUAAUUUAUUUAUUUAUUUAUUUAUUUAGUCUGUGACUUGUUUGCUCUGCUUUAACAUGGCUAUGGAGGCAAUGCUUGGGACAUUCCUUAAUUAAAUGAUGCAUUGUAAAAGGUACAGAAUUCUCUCUCAGAAACCGCAUUUGUUAUUGGACCACCACUCUCAAUCAUUGGAUUGAGAAUUUGCAGGUCUCCUUCUGUUCUGCUUACAUUUGGAUGUGUCAGUGUGCAAAAGAUAUUUUGGUAAUUGACUUUUAGUUCCUGGGAACAUUAAACAGCUUAGAACAUCAAACAGCUUUGACAUUUGACUGUCAAAAUUUUCUGCAUUUUGACAUUUGACUGUCAACAGUCUUUUUAUUCUUAUCUGAAAACUCAAUUUCCUGAUAAAUCUCUAUAAUACAAGUUUGGGCUUUUUGUUUUGGAUUUUCUUUUUUCUUUUACGGAAAAAGGGUAAAGAGAUUUUUAGUUUCAAUUCUUUCCUAAUAUAUUUCACUUAACUGAAAGCUACAUGUAGGACAUGUAGGAUUCAAGGUUUUCCAGGGUUCUUUACUUCAAAAUAGCAGUCUUUUUAUUCACUGAUAGUCAUUUCUAUUCAAAUAAUACACAGGGAAUAUGUACAGCGUGUAUAGAGACAUGCAGAUAAACAUGCUGAGACAGGUAUCCUGCCUCCCUUAACGGCUACAUAUUUCAGACUUGGCAAGGAUCAAAUCUCUUCUAGGUCAUAAAGAAGGACUGUGGAGUAGAAAAGAGUCUUCAUUUUUACACAGUUAAUACCCUGUCCUGAUUAGCUUCACAUUCCUUUACCCUCACAUCUUUUCACAGCUUCUAGUGCAACUAUGUCACAACUUUCAACCAGUGUUCACUGCACAAGUGGAUAGUGGGAAAUCCUGAUUUUAUAUCCAGUUUAUACAGUAUAUACAGUUCAUACAGUAUUUUUUAAACAACAUUCUUUCUUAGGUGUUGGAUCUAUGUAGAGUAUGUAACCGAUGGUGUUGUGUUGUACCUGUUAUCAAAUAAAAUACUUGUCUCGUUUACCCUAAAAAACAUGUUCAGGUGAGAUUUAAGACAAUCUAUAAAAAAAAAAUUGAGCUUCAAUAUCAUUGAAUCAUGUACCUAGUUCCCUUAACACUGUGACACAGUCUUUCAGGUAGCUGAGACAACUGAGAUGUGGAUUUCAAAUACAUAUAUCAUACUCUAAAACAGAAGAUCGAAUUUGCUGGAAGUCUACUUUUAUGCUAAAAUUAAAACUGUGAGGUUUUGAAUACAGUAAGUUUCAUACAAGCAAUAA
Lepidothrix coronata (blue-crowned manakin) is the source of this 2495-nucleotide long non-coding RNA. RefSeq lists it as uncharacterized. The record is from RefSeq and is a predicted model, not a curated record. Lineage: Eukaryota; Metazoa; Chordata; Aves; Passeriformes; Pipridae. The transcript has 3 exons.